UUGAAAAAAAUACAGCACGGAAGAUUGGGGAUGGGAAGGUGAUAUUUUGGGAGGAUAUUUGGUUAAGGGGAGGGAGACUAAGUACAACAUACAACCAAUAGACUGUUUGGGAAUUUAGAACAAAGUUGGUGAGAUGAGAAUCUGAGCGAGAGGGAUUAAUUAGUGUAUGAUGCUUUAGCAAGGUGGAGGAGAUAUUGGUUUGACUGGGACAAACAAUAAUUACUGGAAAACUUUUUGUAUAGAUAUGGAAUGGAGAUAAUAAUUGUGUUUAUAUGCCUCGUUAAGUCAACAGGGGGUCCUAUAAAUACAUCCUUUUUCAAGUGCUUGUAGAACAUCAACAUUUCGUUGAAUGUAUUAGCUUUUGCAUAGAG
This 371-nucleotide long non-coding RNA is filed under the name Glycine max (soybean). Its description in RNAcentral is "long non-coding RNA (GMAX_LNC003876)". Lineage: Eukaryota; Viridiplantae; Streptophyta; Magnoliopsida; Fabales; Fabaceae. The record is from RNAcentral.